GGAGUCCAAGAUAUUGUGGUCACCCACCGUUAGAUAUUAAUCCAAUGGUUCAAAAAAGUUUCUUAAAAGGAGUGCAAGAGUGAGUGAACCGUUGAAUUUACAUCCAACGGUGGGUGAUCACAAAUCCUGUAAUCCAAGAGAUCAAAACUAUAUAUAUAUAUAUAUAUGUAUUAUUCCUCGUUUCAAUUUACAAUACAUGUUUAUAGACCUCACUGACACAUUUCAAAUCCAUUUAUGCUUUUGCCUCUACACUGCUUUCCCCCCUCCUUACCCGAAAAUUUUGAAGAGGAAACUUGGACAGAGGUUAAGUCGGCCAUUUCCAAGAUAUUCUUAAAGAAAGAAGCUGCUCUCCGUUCUCUUGAGUGCUUGAAUCUUAUUGAGGUAGAAUCAAUUACAUUUGUAUUUAUUUUAAAUACAAUAGCUUUAUGCAACUUGGAUGCGUUAUGAAAAAACAUGUAAUAUUUUCUCUUAUUAUUCAGUCUAUUAGUGAGGUUUCUUGGCUUGAGAUGGGAUCAAGUCGUCUAUAUCAACGGAUUCAUGAUGAGUGCGACAGCCACAUAGUUGCAGAAUUGGAAUCUUAAGUUCAGUACCAAACUCCAGAUUCUGUAGCUCUCUUAUCCUGCGUCGACACAUGCUGACAGGAUCAUUCCGAACAGAUGUCGUUGAUCAAUCGUAUUAUGGGUUCAGCCUUAUCUCCUUUUAGAGUAGAAGGGAAACCAACACCAAAGCUGCCUAAAUUGUCGAACAUGGGGUUGCAGCUUUUUCGCAAAUAUUUUUUCCAAUCUCCAACAGUUGAGCCUGAUAUCGUUACUGGCCUUUUAAGGAUGGUCGAUAAGGAAAGGUAAACUGUAUUCUAUCUUGUUUAUUUUAGUAUUAAUUAUUCAACUUAUUUGAUUUCUUCCCCCAUCUCAAUUUCUCAUUUGAUUAGUACGAUAAUCUUGUUUAUUAUCACAUAAUCCUCUUGAUCUACAAGAAAAGGUUGA
RNAcentral lists this long non-coding RNA (983 nucleotides) under Prunus dulcis (almond). RNAcentral describes it as "sRNA ncRNA". The record is from RNAcentral. Lineage: Eukaryota; Viridiplantae; Streptophyta; Magnoliopsida; Rosales; Rosaceae.